UCCAGUCCUGACUGCAUGCACAC
This 23-nucleotide non-coding RNA is filed under the name Cricetulus griseus (Chinese hamster). The record is from RNAcentral. Lineage: Eukaryota; Metazoa; Chordata; Mammalia; Rodentia; Cricetidae.